This 253-nucleotide ribosomal RNA is filed under the name uncultured bacterium. Its description in RNAcentral is "partial 16S ribosomal RNA". It matches the Rfam family "Bacterial small subunit ribosomal RNA", at positions 524 to 776 of the family's 1533-position model. The record is from RNAcentral.
UACGAAGGGUGCAAGCGUUACUCGGAAUUACUGGGCGUAAAGCGUGCGUAGGUGGUGAGUUAAGUCUGUCGUGAAAGCCCCGGGCUCAACCUGGGAAUGGCGAUGGAUACUGGCUCGCUAGAGUGCGGUAGAGGAGAGUGGAAUUCCCGGUGUAGCAGUGAAAUGCGUAGAGACCGGGAGGAACAUCAGUUGCGAAGGCGGCUCCCUGGACCAGCACUGACACUGAGGCACGAAAGCGUGGGGAGCAAACAGG